GGUCGUCGCACUGCUCACGAUCGCUGUCCUCGAGUACAAUUCAAUGGUAAAGCUCCCUGAUGUUGUAGAUGGAUGCUCCCCCAACAGAGCCUCCUCAAAGGGCCACCUAGGUACAGGGGUUGAUUCCAAAACCCUCUCGCAAUAACUUUCCUGGCACUUUUCCCCCAGGCAUAUAUGGCCGUCGAUGUGGGUUGUUGUCGUUCCUCGGG
Molecule: small RNA, 209 nt
Filed under: Histoplasma capsulatum var. duboisii H88
Lineage: Eukaryota; Fungi; Ascomycota; Eurotiomycetes; Onygenales; Ajellomycetaceae
Description: Histoplasma capsulatum H88 hypothetical RNA
Source: RNAcentral